AGAGUUUGAUCAUGGCUCAGGAUGAACGCUAGCUACAGGCUUAACACAUGCAAGUCGAGGGGCAGCAUGUUGGUUGCUUGCAACCAACGAUGGCGACCGGCGCACGGGUGAGUAACGCGUAUCCAACCUACCCUUGUCCAUCGGAUAACCCGUCGAAAGGCGGCCUAACACGAUAUGCGGUUCACGGCAGGCAUCUAAGGUGAACGAAAUGUGAAGGAGAAGGAUGGGGAUGCGUCUGAUUAGCUUGUUGGCGGGGUAACGCCACCAAGGCUACGAUCAGUAGGGGUUCUGAGAGGAAGGUCCCCCANAUUGGAACUGAGACACGGUCCAAACUCCUACGAGAGGCA
This 347-nucleotide ribosomal RNA is filed under the name uncultured bacterium. RNAcentral's name for it is "bacterial SSU rRNA". It matches the Rfam family "Bacterial small subunit ribosomal RNA", at positions 8 to 350 of the family's 1533-position model. The record is from RNAcentral.